Molecule: ribosomal RNA, 1208 nt
Filed under: Frankliniella cf. schultzei/sulphurea TH130
Lineage: Eukaryota; Metazoa; Arthropoda; Insecta; Thysanoptera; Thripidae
Description: eukaryotic LSU rRNA
Rfam family: Eukaryotic large subunit ribosomal RNA
Source: RNAcentral
CCGGGCCUCGCUCGGCGGGAAAUGUAGCGUUUAGGAGGGCCCGUUAACACGACAGCACGAUCUUCGUUCAAGUCCAACUUGAAUGGGGUCACACAGAGGGUGAUAUGCCCGUAGAGCAGGAGCGUCUGUCGUGUGGGCCUCUCCUUAGAGUCGGUUUGCUUGAGAGUGCAGACCUAAGUGGGUGGUAAACUCCAUCUAAGGCUAAAUAUAACCACGAGACCGAUAGCACACAAGUACCGUGAGGGAAAGGUGAAAAGAACUUUGAAGAGAGAGUUCAAGAGUACGUGAAACUGAAAUGGUGUAAACGGACGAGACUGGAAAGUCCGACCGGUGAGAUUCAAGCCCUCUGCGCUGGUGGCUCGCGGGUUAGAGAUGGUGUCGUCAGCUCGUGCCCUCGGGUGCGGGUCAUACUUCGCUACUCUGCCUGCGGGUAUCUUUCCGGCGCGGGGGGCUGCACUUCUCGCCUAGUAGGACGUCGCGACCCGUUGGGUGCCGUUCCAUGGCCCGUGGUGGAGGCCGUGCCGGAGCGUCGUUUCGGCGGCGUUGCUGUUGCACGGACCCGCGGUGACCUGAACGGCUGCCCGACGGUAGCAAAGCAUUGGGAAGGGACCGCACAGAAGGCUGCGUCCGACGCUCGCUCUCAGAGCUACGCUCGGACAGGUCCGUACCCGGUCAGCGGCGCUUCUGCUUCCGGUACUCGUCCGACCCGUCUUGAAACACGGACCAAGGAGUCUAACAUGUACGCGAGUCAUUGGGCUCUGCGAAACCUAAAGGCGAAAUGAAAGUAAAGGCUAGGCACUUGUGCCAAGCUGAGGGGUGAUGGCCGUCCCUUCUGUGGACGGCCCGCAACCCCGGGGCGUCGCGUUCUCUUUGAGAAGUGGCGCACCCAGAGCGUACACGUUGGGACCCGAAAGAUGGUGAACUAUGCCUGGCCAGGACGAAGUCAGGGGAAACCCUGAUGGAGGUCCGUAGCGAUUCUGACGUGCAAAUCGAUCGUCGGAGCUGGGUAUAGGGGCGAAAGACUAAUCGAACCAUCUAGUAGCUGGUUCCCUCCGAAGUUUCCCUCAGGAUAGCUGGCGCUCGGAGGAAAGAGUUUCAUCCGGUAAAGCGAAUGAUUAGAGGCCUUGGGGCCGAAACGACCUCAACCUAUUCUCAAACUUUAAAUGGGUGAGAACUCCGGCUUGCUUCGGUGAAGCCGCGAGUGUUCU